CGGCGCUCUGCUAAUCUGUGAAUAUGAUACAUUAAUACACAGGCUAUGUUGGUGAUGGUUUUUUGUUCUUGUAGUGAAUGUGGAUUUCUGAAACUAAUCUAAGGGAAACAUGUUAAUGUGACAGUCACAAGAAGUCCCAAGAAAAUAUGCAUCGCGUGCCCUCAGCCGACAGACGGAUAAGUGCUUGGAAUGAAUAUUCAUGUUGGUUAUCUCCUGUUUCAUUAUCUAAUCAUUGGUUCCUGCUCUCAUUCGUUCUGUUCCUGUUAGUUUGAUUUCCUGCUUUUGGUAAUGUUCUGCACUGUUUGCUGUCAGCCCUGUUAUCUGUGUUGUUGUCACACCUUUCCUCCGUCCCAUGCUCGCAUAAUGAAUACGAUGGACUAACUUAGAUGUCCUAAGGAAGCUUUAAUACGUUUUUUGAGGCAAUAAGUUUGUUUUUUAAUGUUCUGGGAACUGAUUAGAUUUCACAGUGUGUGUGUACAAUCAGUUAAUCACUCAGCAGGAUGUGCUGUAUGGACUCCGCAGCUUCCUUUGUUCUCCGUCAGGUCGUCUUGUUCAUUUAGUCCAAGCUGUUCAGCAUUUCUCUUUGUCUCUUUGUUAUUUUCACAGUUAUUCUUCUUUUUUCCUUUUUUUAAAGCUUUUUGUGUAUUUUUAAUCCUUUUUAUAGAUUAUUUCAUAGACUUGGCAUUUUGGCUGUUCACCAUAUGGACCUUUUCCUCACUGCCUGCCUCUGUGAACGACAAAAGUUUGAAUUUUUUCUGAGCCUCUCUCCUGCAUUUAUUAAACUCUGAUUCCUAAUCAUUCUGCUGUUCAGUGCAAGCAGCUCAAGUGGUCUUUACCAGUGUAAUAACUGUGUAAUAAACACAGUCAAUUUUUAAUAUUUCCUUUAGUGUCCAAACACCAUAUUAAGAACCUCAAUGAUUUCCACAUUCACUCUGCUGCCAUUACAAAGAAAUGCUGCUAUGGUAAAUCCAAUAAUUAUGUCAACACACGUCCUUCCAUCAACCUAUUACUUCUCAUUCAUCUGUAACGUCUGUGUCUGAUGGUUCAGAGUCCUGGCUUGAAUGAAAACGUAUCACUUGUACCACUGUUCUCGUUUUUCCUUGAACUGCUCUUAAAGCCCUGCUUCUCCAGAUGUCUUGAUGCACGAUCACUCAUCCAG
This is a long non-coding RNA of Astatotilapia calliptera (eastern happy), 1159 nucleotides long. NCBI's taxonomy places the organism in Eukaryota, Metazoa, Chordata, Actinopteri, Cichliformes, Cichlidae. The record is from Ensembl.